Zeugodacus cucurbitae (melon fly) is the source of this 889-nucleotide long non-coding RNA. RefSeq lists it as uncharacterized. Lineage: Eukaryota; Metazoa; Arthropoda; Insecta; Diptera; Tephritidae. The transcript has 3 exons. The record is from RefSeq and is a predicted model, not a curated record.
AGAAAAUAAGUUUGAAGAAAAAUUAAUUUUUUGUUUUGCAGUAUUUUUGUCAACUUAAAAGUUUUAAUCAAAUUAAAAUUCAAAAUACAAUUAAUGAGUUAAUUGAAAAUGAUAAUAGGAAAAAUUGUCGUGAAAGAAAAGAUUAUUCAUCGAGGAAGUUCUAAGAGGAGUUGGUAACACAGUAAGAGCUUCCACUACAGCCUGUUCUAUGUUACUGGAAUUUACACAGAUUUUAUCGACGAUAAUUGGAUCGGAAAGUUGUCUACUCAUCUGACCGUUCUUUCUUGUCGCUGGGAACCCUCCGAAAGAUCUCGUUUCUUGAAUUUCCUUUUGUUUGACAUCGACGAUCUUACAAUCGCAACAUGAAGAGUGGAGAAGUAUAUAUAUAUUAUGUUUCAAUUAUAUAAAGUGACUCUCCAGGGUGUCAUACGUACCAUAUCCAUUGGACGUUUUCUAGCCAAGAUGUUAAUUUGGAUAUAGUAUAACCGAGCCUGCCGAAUACCGGAUAGAUGCACUGCCUCGGACAAUAUGGAGAGCGGUAGUAGGAAGUCCAACACCUGUAGGCUAGCCGACACUCAUGUACUCAAACAAAGAUAUUCGAGAUCUUAUAACAUUAUUAAGUGUUUCAAUAGAAGUUCUAGUUAUUUUAUUACAUUUUUAAAUUAGUCUCUUCUGUAAUCUAUUAGUUGGUCUUAGGUCUUAUGCGCAAAGCUUGAGUAGUCGUAUGAAGAAACAUGCUUAAUAAAUAAUAUACUAAUCCAAUUCCGAUACCAUUAAAAAAUUAUGCGCCAAAAUGUAUGCAAAUGUUUAGAAUUCACGAUCGUAUUUCAAAUUUGCCUCAUAAAAAAUCAAAUAGUGUUUAUAAAUUGUUGCCGCGCUGAAACUGUCA